This 433-nucleotide ribosomal RNA is filed under the name uncultured bacterium. Its description in RNAcentral is "partial 16S ribosomal RNA". It matches the Rfam family "Bacterial small subunit ribosomal RNA", at positions 29 to 507 of the family's 1533-position model. The record is from RNAcentral.
AACGAACGCUGGCGGCAUGCCUAACACAUGCCAGUCGAACGAGACCUUCGGGUCUAGUGGCGCACGGGUGCUUAACGCGUGGGAACCUUCCCUUAGGUUCGGAAUAACUCCCCGAAAGGGGUUCUAAUACCGGAUAAUGUCUUCGGACCAAAGAUUUAUCGCCUUUGGAUGGGCCCGCGUUGGAUUAGCUAGUUGGUAGGGUAAAAGCCUACCAAGGCGACGAUCCAUAGCUGGUCUGAGAGGAUGAUCAGCCACACUGGGACUGAGACACGGCCCAGACUACUACGGGAGGAAGCAGUGGGGAAUAUUGGAAAAUGGGCGAAAGCCUGAUCCAGCAAUGACGCGUGAGUGAUGAAGGCCUUAGGGUUGUAAAGCUCUUUUAAACGGGAUGAUAAUGACAGUACCGGGAGAAUAAGCUCCGGCUAACUCCGUG